GCAACAAAUUAAUUCCUUUAACAAUUGUCAUCCAUAAACACUGGAUUUAAUUACUAUUUGAUACUUUGUAGGGACUGGCAGAUCGUAUCAGCCCAGCUGUGAGGAUGGCUUCUGAAUAUAACUCUAAAAUAUUUGCACUGGAGGAAAAAGGCCUGGUAUCAUCAGUUCUGUGCACUGUUUCACUGCGCUGAGGACCACUGUGAGUCACAACUUUGAUACAGACUGGUUAUUGAGUGGAUUUUCAUCCAUUUGUUGAGCAACAACUACGAUGUUUUCAAACAAAGUUGGUGCUCCUAAAUCUUGUUGCUGCGUUGAUGAUCGCCUUUGAAGAAGAUGAAGUCCACCAGCAGAUGGGAGAAAGCAACACACAGGCCUCUGAAGAUUCUCUGGAGAAAGCAUGGUGUGGGAGGAAGCGCUCAUUUUCACAUGCAAACUCUGCUCCAUGCAAAAAAGGCAAGUGAGCCAGGAUGUCAGAUCUAAGCACUGAUGAA
This 491-nucleotide long non-coding RNA is filed under the name Struthio camelus australis. RNAcentral describes it as "lncRNA (ENSSCUG00000009232.1)". The record is from RNAcentral. Lineage: Eukaryota; Metazoa; Chordata; Aves; Struthioniformes; Struthionidae.